RNAcentral lists this ribosomal RNA (254 nucleotides) under uncultured bacterium. RNAcentral's name for it is "partial 16S ribosomal RNA". It matches the Rfam family "Bacterial small subunit ribosomal RNA", at positions 524 to 776 of the family's 1533-position model. The record is from RNAcentral.
UACGUAGGACCCAAGCGUUAUCCGGAUUUACUGGGCGUAAAGAGUUGCGUAGGUGGUUUAUUAAGUGGAGCGUGAAAGCGUGUGGCUCAACCAUACAGCUGCGUUCCAAACUGAUUAACUUGAGUAUGAGAGGGGUAGAUGGAAUUUCUAGUGUAGGAGUGAAAUCCGUAGAUAUUAGAAGGAACACCGAUAGCGUAGGCAGUCUACUGGCUCAUUACUGACACUAAGGCACGAAAGCGUGGGGAGCAAACGGG